This is a long non-coding RNA of Dicentrarchus labrax (European seabass), 704 nucleotides long. RefSeq lists it as uncharacterized. The record is from RefSeq and is a predicted model, not a curated record. The transcript has 3 exons. Lineage: Eukaryota; Metazoa; Chordata; Actinopteri; Moronidae.
GCACAGCAGAGCCGCGUGACACAGCUUACAGGGAGAAAACAAAACCUGCAGUAGAUUGCAUCUAUAAAGGCAGUCUAACUGCAGUGAAUGCACUGCGUGACUGAGUCUACUCAGCGCUGACACAGCAUCCGAGUGAUGGAAAAGACAAUGGGAAUAAUGGGCAGGGUAAUAAGACGGGACUGGGAUAAUGGGAGAUUCUGGCCUCUGCCUCUGUAAUGAGACUGUGGGAUCUGCGCUGGAGGAGAGGGAGAGAGGUAUGCCAAAUGCUGGAAAAACCACAACCAUGGAGAUACUGAAAGCUGUUGAAUGCUGGUGUUAGCUUGUUAUUGUUACACAGGCAGAGAAAAUGAGGAUUGAUAGUGUACUCAAGUUACUGUGUUGUGUAUGACUUGAGAACAAAAUGACGUAAAUAUCUCUUUCACAUUUGACACUGAAGUGUGUGUGAGCAGAAUUUAGAGGGGAAAACCAUGAAAAGAAAAUCCUUAUCUGAGCCUAUGUUAGUUUGACCUUUUGUAAGAAUGUUUGUCAUGUGUUGGAGCACAUGAGCAACUUCAUUAAUAGAUGCAAAACAGACACACACACACACACACACACACACACACACACACACACACACACACACACACACACACACACACACACACACACUAGAGUGGUGUGGAGCCAUUUCCAGGCAGGACUAUUCAUCUUCAUGAAUAAAAUGA